UCAGACCUAACACAUGCAAGUCGAGCGAGGACUUCGGUCCUAGCGGCGGACGGGUGAGUAACGCGUGGGAACGUGCCCUUUGCUUCGGAAUAGCCCUGGGAAACUGGGAGUAAUACCGGAUGAGCCCUACGGGGGAAAGAUUUAUCGGCGAAGGAUCGGCCCGCGUUGGAUUAGGUAGUUGGUGGGGUAAUGGCCUACCAAGCCGACGAUCCAUAGCUGGUUUGAGAGGAUGAUCAGCCACACUGGGACUGAGACACGGCCCAGACUCCUACGGGAGGCAGCAGUGGGGAAUCUUUAAAAGUGGGGGAAACCCUGAUCUAGCCAUGCCGCGUGAUUUAAGAGGGCCUUAGGGUUGUAAAGCUCUUCAGCUGGAAGAUA
RNAcentral lists this ribosomal RNA (378 nucleotides) under uncultured bacterium. RNAcentral describes it as "bacterial SSU rRNA". It matches the Rfam family "Bacterial small subunit ribosomal RNA", at positions 42 to 448 of the family's 1533-position model. The record is from RNAcentral.